CGUGGACAGCUUGUGCAGGAAGUCGCGGCGCAUAUCCGCGAUUCUGGCGUGGGUGCGCGCCACCUUGAGGGCGGCUUUCCGAUGGUUGCUGCUGCCUUUGGUCUUGCGGCUCAACGCCCGCUGCUCGCGUUCGAGCUUUUCGGCGAGACGCCGGUAGUGGCGUGGGUUGCCGAUGGUCUCGCCGUCGCUGGUGACGGCGAAGUCCUUCACCCCCAGGUCGAUGCCGACCGCGCGCGUGUUCUUGGGGAGCGUGUCGAUGCGCUCCUCCACGAGGAUGCUGACAUGCCAGCGUCCCGCCGCGUCAAGGCUGACCGUGACCGUGGACGGGACGGCCUUCCUCGGGAGGGUGCGAGACCAUCGGAUAGGCAGCGGGUCAUGCAUCUUGGCGAGCGUGAGUUCACGACGUUCCGCAUCCCAUCUGAACGCGCUGCGCGUGAACUCGGCGCUCCCGCCGUGCGAUUUCCUUUUGAACGUCGGAUAGUCGCCGGUCUGCCUGAAGAAGUGCGAGAACGCCGCUUGCAGGUGGCGCAGCGUCUGCUGCAACGGCACGCAGGACACCUCGUUCAGGUACGAGUAUUCGCC
Molecule: non-coding RNA, 582 nt
Filed under: Bifidobacterium pullorum
Lineage: Bacteria; Bacillati; Actinomycetota; Actinomycetes; Bifidobacteriales; Bifidobacteriaceae
Source: RNAcentral